GGAAAAUGUCAUGGUGAAGCCAAGGACAUGACAUGAGAUUUGGUAGUGAUCAUUGGUAUAAUGAUAUCACAUGUUUAGUCAUCACAAACUUUUUCAAUAACGGUAUAAAUACGAAAAUUGCUCAGAACAUAACCACAUUUGGAAUUUCAUACUUAGAAUUAUCUAGUCGUCAUGGAGUUGAAAGUGAUUUGAUCAAAUAACCAAUGACAUCUCUUAAUGGAUACAAACACACCCAUAUAUGUAGCUAAAUAUAUGAUUAGGUUAACCAACUUAUAUAAGAAAUUAAUAUUAGUUAGCAAAAAAAACUUAUAUAAGAAUAUAUAAGUUUAUCUAAAAUAUUCAACACGGUUGGAUCGGCUAGGUUGACAUGCUCUUUGCGUCGGUAGUUACUUGACUGUGUUUUACCGUACCGUAACUAACUGUACCAUCGGCGAUAACAUUUACAUAUAAACAAACUAGUUUUAUUUAUAACAGGCUAAACCAAAAUAAUUAACCUGGUCUAAAAUAAAAUUCCAAAACAGACAAAAUAAAACCGAAAAGUAUUUUAAUUGAAAUAUAAUUCGUUUAUUUACUUUUGCAGAUGAAUUUUGGUAAAUUGGUCAUUUCCAAAGAAAACGAAACCAAAAAGAAUUCUUAAGUUUAUCAAGAUUUAUUAAUCUGAAUAAAGCUAAUGAAAAGAUAGAACUAAAACAGAAGCAAACUUCAAUCCAAAGUUACCACUUCGAUAUGUUUGUAUCUUUAUUCCAAAAAUAUAAACAAAAUGGAAGCAAACCUAAAUCCAAAAGCUGUCAUAUUUUCUUUGCAGGUUUCACCAAAAAAGAAGUAUCAGAAAAUUGGACAACAUGACCAACUAACUAUGUGUCUAUAUAUAGAAUUGGUAUAUUUUCUUGUUUAUAAGCAAAAGAGACACAUGCUUAACUAUAUGGACGUGUGGUGUCUAUGACACGAGGUCUAGAGUUACAUUUUUGUGUCUUAUUGUGCAUCGAACUUAUACGAAAAAAUAAACUAAAUUUUAAUAUUUCACCGUUCUAAUCAACGAAAUUAAAAUUUAAAAUUCUCAACUAACCUAUUAAAAAUGCGCAUUGGUGACACAAAUUUUCAAAUUAAUUAACCUUAAAAAAAUUCACCGUACUUAAUUCAAAACUAGUUGUUACAAAUGCCAUCAAAAUUAAUAUUGAUAAUACUUAAUAAACACAUAUGUUAAAUAUAUUUGAACAUGAAAUGAGAAUGUAUAUUUUAUCUGAAUCAACCAACUCUGUAGACCUAAUAGCAUCAAACCCAAGAAGAAUCGGUCUAUCAUUCUCCCUAAUGAUUUGGACUGAUCCGGCCCGUUUAAAUACGAUAAUGUUUGAUAUUGUAUAGUAGUAACAAUCUUGGGCUUCGUGUUGUUCGUUUUAAACUUUUUCGAGUAACCCAAUAGUUGCGUAUGUGAACCGAAGAUAAUUUAUGCUCAACUAUCAUGAUCGACUAUGAAAUUUUAAAUUCAUAAAAAAAAUAUUUCGAAAUUAAAAAAAAAAAUCAUCAUAUCCCACGAUCUCAUUAGUUUAUUUUGUUUUUGAUACCAUCAAGAACAUUAAUCUUUUAAAGAAAUUACUCUAGAUAAAGUUAAAUCUUCUUCAUUACCAUGUACCAAAUAUAUUAAAAAGCUAAAAAUCUCUAACCGAAUCUUCCAAAUUUCAUCAUAUAUUCAUAUCCCACGAUCUCAUUAGUUUAUUUUGUUUUUCAUACCAUCAAGAACAUUAAUCUUUAUAGAAAUUACUCUAUAUAAAGUUAAAUCUUCUUCAUUACCAUGUACCAAAUAUAUUAAAAAGGCUAAAAUCUCCAACCAACCAUUUUCCACAACUUCCACAAAUGAAAAAUAUGAAAAACUUUGAUUAACUAAAAUUUAAAGAGCGUCAAAAAUCUCCAACUGUCAACCACGUGAGGUGCACAUGCGUUGACGACCGUGAGUAGAAGACUCUCUUCGUCAAGCGGACAAGCACUUACAGCACAUGCACACACACAAGCCUCCUUUCUAAUUUGGUCCCCUUUCACUAAUUUAAUUCAUUUCAACUUUACAAUCCCUAACUACAUUUAGUAACUCUCUUACAUUAUUUUAUCAACCAAUGAACUAGUCAUAACCUCUCUUUCUCUUUCUUUCUUAAAGACUCUCCUCAAGAUUUUCCCCUAACUAUCAUAUUAACUUUUAUAGGGUUUAUCUUUUCAGGCAAAAACAAAUUAUGUACCGUCGUUCCUCCUCCAAGUCAACCGCUCCAGACGGCGGCGACGCCGAAAACAAUCCAUAUGAUGAAACUUCAGGUGGUUUCUCCUCCCUCGGUUCUCAAACUCACCAUAAUCUUCCACCUCCGCCGCGCCAGCAGCACAAUCCCAACGUCGUUGGGUUCGGUCAUCACUUGUCAGGCGAACCAUCUACCAUCGGACAUUCCGGCGCUUCUUCCUCUUCCUCUUCUUUGUUCCGACACAGAAGCUCUCCGGCUGGAUUCUAUGACCAACUUCUUCCCACUGAACCCAACGGUUUUUCCCUAGGGCAGCCAAACGGAGGAUACGGCGGAGGAAGAGGAGAAGAGCGAGGGCUAUCUAGGUUGAAGUCGGAGCAGAGAUUCUCAGGCGGGAGUAGUAGUAAUUAUCAAGAACAUAACUCUCUACCUAGAAUCUCGGAGGUACACGCGGCUGCGGCGGCUAUAAACAGUGCCACGUCGACGAGUAUGAGUUUUGGAAAUGAUAGUAACAUUUGGGACAGGUCGUCUUCUCAAAUCAGUUUCACCAUUGAUGAACCUGGAAAACGGUCCAAGACCACCGACUUUUUCACCUUAGAAACUCAGUUUAGCAUGCCACAAACGUCUCUGGAAAUGGCAAGAAUGGAGAGUCUGAUGAACAUCCCAGAGGGUUCGGUGCCCUGUAGGGUUAGGGCCAAGCGUGGAUGUGCGACUCACCCGCGUAGUAUAGCUGAAAGGAAGAACGAGAAUAAGCGGGAAGCUGAAGAAGCUACAAGAACUGGUGCCUAAUAUAGACAAUCAAACGAGCUAUGCAGAAAUGUUGGAUUUGGCUGCUGAGCAUAUCAAAGGUCUUCAACACCAAGUAGAGUCACUAGAAAAGGGGAUGGAGGGAUGCACUUGUGGGGCGUGCAAGAAGCGAUGAUGAAAGAAUGAUAUGUUUCUAAAGAUGAUCGAAGAAAGUAUAGAA
Molecule: RNA transcript, 3183 nt
Organism: Brassica napus (rape)
Lineage: Eukaryota; Viridiplantae; Streptophyta; Magnoliopsida; Brassicales; Brassicaceae
Gene name: transcription factor bHLH129
Exons: 6
Source: RefSeq, a predicted model, not a curated record